AAAGUUAGAAGAGAAGAUCCCUUGCACCCCCAUACCCCCAAAAUACGUCCUCAGUGUAGAUGCAAGCGUAAACCCUAACUAGGGUUUUGCUCAAAUACAAUAACCCUGUUGAGGGCAGUGAGAAAAUUUAAAUACGGUUGCAGGAUCCAAAAUUUUGUCGUAGGAGCGUGCUCUGAUUGUUCGCUAAGGUGCACAGGUUUAUAGUCAGAUCGUUAACCUAGUUAGAGCGAUCUUAUUUUCGUAUUUGUUUUUUUCCUGCAUUUCUAUUGAACAAUACCAGUUCUAUUUGUGGAGUGCUUUUAAAGUUUUAACGCCGUUUCUUUAUUUUUCUACCUGUUUGAAUUUCCCGUUGUUGUCUGGUUAAUUCGAUGAUAAAUUUAUUUAAAUUUGCCUUUCUUUUCAUUACAAUGUUUUGCCAAUGAUGGUUUUAAAUAUACUUCGAGGUGUACAAUGAGAACGCUUUUCACUGAGGCAAACAUAUAGAGUCCAGAUUUUUUAUCCUUUUUCAGUGUUUUUCUUUUGGCAGGAUGCUUUAUAGGAUAUGUCUUUGUGAGGUGUUUUGGAAAAUCAACCGAUAUAUGUUAGGUUUUGCUUACUCCUGAAAGAUUGUUUUUUGUGUUAUAAUGAUUGUUUGUAGUGUUAGUCCUCUUUUCUGAACAUUCUUACCGACUGUCAUUAGGCCAUUAUACUGACGGUUGCAUCGGCCGUCGACCGAACGUUUGGUCUUAGCUCCGUUCUUGGUUGAUCGGCUUUGCAGUUUAUAUUCUAUUAAUCUGCGAAGCCAGCAGAUUCGGUAAAGAUCGGAGUCCAGCUUAUCAAAUUCUUCACUCUUUAAAGUAGCUGUGUUAUAGGGGGGGUUCUGUUUGCUAUUUUAUUUUCUCGGUUGUUGGGAAAUUUUUCUAGCUUCAUUCAUAAAAAUGUCUAAAAUUUAAAAUUCGAAGAUACAUACCGUAAGCUUAGGAUGUUGUUUUAAGUUAAAAAUGUUAUUAAGAUGCUAGGAUACCGGUGAUACUCCCGCAUGAAUGUUGCACUACUCUCUGGGUUCAGAACAUUCAGCUCGUUUAAUAUCAAAUACUUAAGUUGUCCUAAAAUACAACAAUGCGUAACACAAAUUUGCACGACUAUAGAUUAGAUUGAAAAAGGACAACAAAUUUGAAUAUGAUCUUUAGAUUUCUAAAGUUUGAAUUUUAAAUUUAGAUAUGUAAAAAUGAUCCGGAACAUAUCAAUAUUUGUGAAUUUGAAGUAAGAUGAUAUGCCAAUUAAAAUUAAUUUUUAAUUAAUUAAUGAUGAAAAUAAACCUAAAAUAAAUCAAAUUUAACGUAAGUAUAUAUUGCUAAUAAUUUUUUAUAAAACAAACAAGAUUUUUUAAGAAGAAAAUGGGUAUACGAUAUGACCUUCGGUAUGUUUAAAAUUCCAAAUUUGUAAGCAGCAAGCGCUAGGAAAAGCUGGAAAAGAAUUUCCCCUUGCAGAGACCAGGGCCUUGCUUAUCCGCUUCUUUUACCCAUGCCCCCAAUAUAUGUCCUCAGUCUCGAUGCAAGCCAAAACCCUAUCUAGGUUUCCACUCAAAUACCAUAAUCCUGUUAAGGGGAGCGAGAGAAUUUAAAUAGCCUCGCAGGAUCAAACAUGUAUGGCGGGAUAGUGUUCGCUUAAGUGUGUGGAUUUAUAUUCAGAUCGUUAAUCUAUUUAGAGCUUGUCAUAUUUCGUUUUUGUUGAGCAUUUUUUUUUGCUGCAUUCCUAUUCUACCAUAUAAGUUGUCUUUGUGGAGUGCUUUUAAAGUUUUAAUGCCGAUACUUGAUGUGUCUACACGUUUGUAAUCCCUUCUUGUGAGUUUGUCUCUUUUCUAAAAAUGGAAUGCCAAUGAUGGUUUUAAAUAUACUUCGAGGUGUACAAUGAGAACGCUUUUCACUGAGGCAAUCUUGAGUUCAGAAAAUUAUUUUUUAUUUUCAAAGUGUUUUUCUAUUUGCAGAAUGCUAUAUAGGAGGUUUUGAAAAAUCAAAUGUUUUAUUCUAAAUCUUGCUUACUCUUGAAAGAUUGACUUUUUGUGUUUUAAAGAUUGAUCAUGGUGUUGGUCCAUCUACUGAUAUGGUUGCAUCGACCGUCAAACAUGUGGUCUUAGUUCUGUUCUUGGUUCAUUGGGUUUACAGUUUACGUUCUAUUGAUAUAGCAACAGAUUCAGCAGGAUUGAAGCCCAGCGCAUCAAAUCCUUCGUUGUUUAAGCCUAAGGUGAAUGAUCUUUACAGCAAAAUCUUCUCCUAGGCUGUGGGGGAAAUUUAAAAUCUAAAUAGUCUUGUAAUUUGUCGACAAGGUAUUUUUCCCUUAUUUUUUUGUCAGAUUUUAUUUUACAGUAAUUUUUAUUUUAUACAUAAUGCCCUCUUCUUUAAAAAGGGUAGCGCUGAACCGGUUUAAUGGGGACUCUUUUUCCGGCCUGACUACUUUAUUUAUUUAUUUUUUUGAUUGGUUUGACUACUUUAUAUUCAAGUUAUAUCAGUAACCUCUUAGUUCACUACUUUGUUGAUUUUACCAUUUUUAAUCUUUUUUUGCUUUUUGUAUCCUUUUUCUUAUACAACGAAUGAAAUAAAUUUGUGUGCGAUUAUUUGCUUGUGGAUUCCGGCUGAUUUGUUUCAUUGUUGUGUAGGAAAAGGGGGAACAAACUUGAAAAUUAUUAUAUUAUAUUAACAUCUGAAUGAAACACUACAUCUGAGAUUCACCUCUAUCUUUCAUACACCAUUAAAAUCUUUGUCAUAACAUCUUACACGUGGAGCUGGACUCUGCCGAGAGGAUGAGUAUAGUUCAGACAUUAUAUAGAAAGCUGGGUGCAUAGAUUUUUUGAGAGAGAUAGACAUAAAAUAAUAUAUAUUUGAAUCACCCACAAUCCGUGAGAACACUUUAGAUGGGACGGUGGCCAGGUUGGAGGAGUCCAGUUGAAUCCAUGAAAGAUCUGCCUUCAAUGCUUCUCUUAAAUUCUGUGGAUAUGUUUGUGCAAAUGGAGGAUACAUAACUGACUGUACUGCUGGGGUAGUUGGGAUUUCAAUCUCCAACAUUCUCCCUUAAUCACAACUACAAAUUCUGACUGCUUUUUUAGUCUCUAUAACUGAUGCUUUUUUAGUCUCUAUAACUGAUGCUUUUUUAGUCUCUAUAACUGAUGCUUUGGCAUCAAGAAUCUUCAAUUUAUAGAGAAUCAAACCCAAGAAAUCCCAUGAUUCUGUGGGAUAGCUCUAACUAGGAGCUCUGGUCUUCUUGUUUUCUCUCAACAUUUCCAAUUGAGUCACACUGCCGGUGCUCUGGGAUCCUAGCUUGGGCUCCACUGACCUCAUACAUUGCCAACACAAAUACAGAUUGCUGCAGCAUUCAACCAUGUUAUUUUUUUAUCCAUUGAUAACUUCACCCAUAUAUUAACAACCUUAGAUAACUGGUAUCCUCCUGAUCUUCUAUGACCUUAGACAAACUUAACACGUCUCUGUCCAUAAAAUGAUCAAACUUUACCUUUAGGCUUCUCUCCUCACAAUUCUAUGACCUUAAUUUAGAAUCAUUAUAAAUCCAAAACACCAACAAAAUAUACUGUACUUUCUUUACCUUUUUAUUCUGGAGUCCAAAUUAGCACCUUCUACUGGGUGAAUUGCUAAUGGGGAUCUCCUGCAAUCAGUUCACAAGACUACUCAUGGCUUCAACAACCUCCUUUUAACUUAGCGGCAUCCUUGCCUAGAGAUGACGACCUCAUUAAACUUUAAUUUCAUGCAAGUUCUUCACGUCUUGGCCAGCAACAUCUGCGAUUAAUCUGACUCUGGUGACAAUGGCUAUUGGCUUCAGCCUUUUACCAUAUGUCCUCUUCAAUAUGCCUACGAUCUCCUCUAUGGUGGCUUCAAACUUUUGUGAGAGCUUCAGCUCUUUAAAAAAAAACACUAUUACAUUAAUCUGACUCUUGAGGGCUUCAUACAAAGACAUUGCAAAGACUGAGCUUCAGCUUAACAUACAGAACACAGUUGAUUUCAGCUCUUUCAUAAACACCUUCAGAGCUUUGGCUCUUUGCAAACAUGCUGAUACCAUUACAUUCAUGCUUACAACUCCUUACAGUCUAUGCCUUUUAAUCAUCAACACUUAUUUUUGGGCAGGCAAGCCUUCUGGCUCGCUGACAUCUUCAACAAAGACAUCAGCUGCAGCUUCUUUUUGUCCGAUACUGCUACAGUAGUCCAAAGUAGCAGCUUCUUUUUGAACAAUGACUCCUUUUAACAGAAGCAAUUUUUUUUACUCCCAGUUCACAUAAUUGACAUAGCUCUGAUACCAUUUGUAGGAUAAGGGUGAGCAGAAUUAAAAGAAAUUAAACAUUACAAAUUUAAAAUUAUACAUCCAAAUGAAACGCUACAUAUGAGCUUCAGCUCUAUGUUUCAGACAUUACAAUCUUCCUCAUAACAUCUUAAAGCUCUGCGGAGCUGGACUUUGCUGAGAGAGAGUACAAGGUACAGAUUCAGAAAUUAUAUAGAGUGCUGGGUCCAUAGGUGGAGAGAGAGACAAAGUAAUAUAAUUUUGAAUCACUCAUGAUCCAUGAGAGCACUGCAGAUGUGGAUGGUGGCCGGGUUGGAGGAUUUUAAUCGAAUCCAUGAAAGAUCGCCUUCAAUGCUUCUCUUAAAUGCUGCAGAAUUGUUUGUGCAUACAGAGGAUACAGAACUGACUGGAGAGCUGAGGUAGUUGGGAUUACAAUCUCCAACAUGUUGAAUGUUUGAAGCUUUUGGUCAUGUAAGUUUAGGUCAUUUACAUAUUUCAAAAGCAUCAGAAGAUAUGUUGUGUUUUCAAUAUUACAAGAUAUGAUAUGAUUUCAAAAGUUAUAGUGAAAAUGUGGUAAAGUGCCUCCGAUGAUUUCUAUGGCCACAAGAAUACUACUGCAUUUUUUUGCGAUUUCAUUAAUCUUAUGUAUUAAGUUGUCUCGA
This is a long non-coding RNA of Cryptomeria japonica (Japanese cedar), 4922 nucleotides long. RefSeq lists it as uncharacterized. Lineage: Eukaryota; Viridiplantae; Streptophyta; Pinopsida; Cupressales; Cupressaceae. The transcript is spliced from 2 exons. The record is from RefSeq and is a predicted model, not a curated record.